GGUAAGGUGGCCGAGAAGGCAGUGGGUUGUAGCCCCAAUCACAGAGGUUUUAGCCCUCUUCUUACCA
Molecule: transfer RNA, 67 nt
Filed under: Allobates magnussoni
Lineage: Eukaryota; Metazoa; Chordata; Amphibia; Anura; Aromobatidae
Description: tRNA-Tyr
Rfam family: tRNA
About the family: Transfer RNA (tRNA) molecules are approximately 80 nucleotides in length.
Source: RNAcentral